This 1886-nucleotide long non-coding RNA is filed under the name Olea europaea subsp. europaea. The record is from RNAcentral. Lineage: Eukaryota; Viridiplantae; Streptophyta; Magnoliopsida; Lamiales; Oleaceae.
CUCAACCACAAUUGAGUGAACCAAAGAGGUCCACUGCCAGUGGGAGAUGCACCAUUCUUCAAUUGUGCUUGAAGAGAGGCCAUGCCUCUAUAAAGGGCAGCAAAAAACAAAGAACAUAAAUUCAAAGGCCUGCCACGCGCCAAUUCGUGCGCUAUAGGUAAAUAACUCAGAGAGGGCUUUAUACUUGACACGCACAAAAUAUAUUUACAAAGCCAAACUAAAAGGAAGGCCACUCGCUCAGUAUGUGUAGGCUCAGCACUCGAAUGAUUGUGGAGGGUCUGCAGGCUUGAAUAAGAGUCGGUAUAGUUUUUACCAAACUUUGGGGCACCACCAGAAACUAAGAUACCUGGGAAAAUAGUAUCGCCCAAAGGUGGUAGAUUCACCAGGGCCCCAACAUCCCUUAACGUAAUAGACAUGGGGCCAAGAGGGAAAAUAAAGGUGUUAUACUCAGGGGACCAAAAACUCAAAGCAAUCGAAAAGAGCGCUGAAUCAAAAGUAGGGGGGCGAAUAGAGACUUCUAACAAAUCAGAAAUCCUAGCGCUAUCAAAAAGUGCCUUAGUAGGACCAUGACCCACAAGACGAGUAUGCCACCUAUGAAAAGCUACAUCAGACUUAGGCCAAGUGCGAAUACCUCUUUCGCGAAGUGGCCCCAGCAGUAGAAAGUUCAGGAAUGGAGGACCCUGAGUGCAGGAAAACAGCUGACCCGCCGCCGCCUGUUCAACUGCCUUUGCAUUGUUGAAGAAAGGACCCAAGUAGAACUCAUUACAUCCAACGUCGGCGGGUGCGAGAAAACUUGGGGUUAUGUAUGGGCGACUCAGAAGUCUCUGAAAGUCAUUAAAACUAAAGGAGUCGCUAGCUUGAGAUUGUGAAGCAGCCAUUGGAGAAGGAACGAAGCUUUUCAGGGUUACGUAACAAGGAAGCAAAAGAUGAACAGUGAAUCGUGAAAGAGACGCAAAAAAAUAUGAGGCGUGGUUUGGUAGCAGUGAAAUGGCGUGUUUGGGGUUUAUAAGGGUUUGCAAAACGACGCACCUUUUCAAGUUAUAGAAGGAAACAAUGAUUGAAAUUUUUGGGAAUUUCGAACGUUGCUGGAAACACAAAGUGAAUAUGGCAAAAUUCAAUAAUUAUUAUUAAUUCUGCCAUAUUGGGGGGUAAUUGUUGACACAUAAAAAUUCAGUCCAAAUCGAACGGCCCAAGGAGUAAAGCCCAAUUGGAGGAUCCCCAAAUCAGAUAGCCCAAAGAACGAAGUCCAAUCGAACGAAUCAAGGUGAAGGCCCAAAUAAGGGGGCCCAAGAAUGCGGUAACGCCAUCGCCCAAGUUUGCAAGUAGCCCAGAAUCUGAACGAAUAGAGUGUCAUACGGUCGCCCAGAUCUGUUAUUCUAUUCUCGCCCAAACCUUCAAGUCGCCCAAGGUAUUAACAGACAUAACGCGUCGUGGUUAUCAAGAAAUGCAGUUAUCAAGGCAGUUGUUAAAGCAGCCCUAUCACGUUCCACGACUUAGGGAAUUCAAUCGAAAGCGGUUGAACGAUGAAAGGUAAUGGCAGCAGUUAAAAGGCAGUUUUCAUGACAAAAUGACCACUACGAAGAAAGUGGGUAGUUAUAGGACGAUCAAACAGUUUUUAGAGUAGUUAAUCACAAAGAGAUCGUCUAUGAAGUAUAAAAGAAAGAACGGACAUAGAAGCAAAGGACCGAAUCCAAAACUCUCGAACAGAGAAUAUGUAAUUUUCAUUUCCUUAGUUUUUAGACUUAAACACUUUUCUUUCUGUAACUCGUGUGCUUGCACCCCUUGGAGACACGUUGUUUUUCAUUUCCAAUUGUAAAGUUCAUCGCCAAUAAAAGAACACCCUUUCUUGGGACUUUGUCUCAAGAGGUUUGUCCCUUACACAAUCG